Molecule: unclassified non-coding RNA, 391 nt
Filed under: soil metagenome
Description: partial contains 5.8S ribosomal RNA, internal transcribed spacer 2, and large subunit ribosomal RNA
Rfam family: 5.8S ribosomal RNA (bases 1-122)
Source: RNAcentral
GAUGAAGAACGUAGCGAAAUGCGAUACUUGGUGUGAAUUGCAGAAUCCCGUGAACCAUCGAGUCUUUGAACGCAAGUUGCGCCCGAAGCCACUAGGCCGAGGGCACGCCUGCCUGGGCGUCACACGCCGUUGCCCCCCCAUCUACUCCUUCGGGAUUGCGGGGGGGCGGAUGAUGGCCUCCCGUGCGCCUAGCCGCGCGGUUGGCAUAAAUACCAAGUCCUCGGCGACGCACGCCACGACAAUCGGUGGUUGCGAAACCUCGGUUGCCCGUCGUGUGCGUUCGUCGCGCAUCGAGAGCUCAAAAAAAUGCUCGGCUCCGGCUGGGCUUUCAACGCGACCCCAGGUCAGGCGGGGUUACCCGCUGAAUUUAAGCAUAUCAAUAAGCGGAGGA